Molecule: ribosomal RNA, 303 nt
Filed under: Triticum aestivum (bread wheat)
Lineage: Eukaryota; Viridiplantae; Streptophyta; Magnoliopsida; Poales; Poaceae
Description: partial small subunit ribosomal RNA
Source: RNAcentral
AUGGAUGCUGUAAUAAUCUUAAUUGUGGUUUGUGAUAGUUAUUUGACGAGAACCCCCGCUCCCCUCUCCCCGCGGCUAGGGUUCCCCCGCUCCCCUCCCGCCGCCGCCACCUCUCCCGCCGCCGCCGGCCGUCGGCCCCGCCUCCGCCCCCCUUCCGCCCGGCCCCUCCUCCGGCUAGGCCGCCUCGCGCCGCCUCCCCGGGAGGUGGCCGGGGUGGAGCUCACGCCCCGCGCCCGCAGGACCCCGCCUUCCCCAUCUCCCUCCGCCGCCGCCGGCGAGCGACCCCGGCGUUGGCCCGGGUGA